Molecule: ribosomal RNA, 277 nt
Filed under: uncultured prokaryote
Description: partial 16S ribosomal RNA
Rfam family: Bacterial small subunit ribosomal RNA
Source: RNAcentral
UACGUAGGGGGCUAGCGUUAUCCGGAUUUACUGGGCGUAAAGGGUGCGUAGGUGGUUUCUUAAGUCAGAGGUGAAAGGCUACGGCUCAACCGUAGUAAGCCUUUGAAACUGGGAAACUUGAGUGCAGGAGAGGAGAAUGGAAUUCCUAGUGUAGCGGUGAAAUGCGUAGAGAUUAGGAAGAAUACCAGUGGCGAAGGCGAUUCUCUGGACUGUAACUGACGCUGAGGCUCGAAAGCGUGGGGAGCAAACAGGAUUAGAUACCCUGGUAGUCCCUGAG